GAGAAGUACGCACCACGAAGAUGUUGCUACAGAUUGACCCGUGAAUCGCUUGGUAUGCUGCCCUCUUCUGUAGCGCCCGUACGUGUUAUCCAUGAGGAAAUCUAGUGCGGCCAAUGAGCACCCUACCUCGUGUAUCACGCGCCCCCUGGGUGCAUGCAUGUGCCGAUGUGCUAUCUCUUCUCUGCAGAUACCUCAUAGCUGCAUGGCCGCAUCUGUGGAUCUCCCCUAUAAAUACGCAUACUUGUAGUAAGUUAUAUGCAGAUAUCAACCAACUCCAGCGAUCAAUUAAUAAGCUCGAGCUUCAUUUAGCUACAGCGGUGCCAGAUCGACGAUGAGCUCCACAGACGCCACCGCCCCCGGAGGCCUCUUCGUUGAGGAGUCGAAGUCGUGGCCGGAGGUGGUGGGGAAGUCCAUCAAGGAGGCCAGGGAGAUCAUUCUCAAGGACAAGCCUGAAGCCGACAUCGUCGUCCUCCCAGCAGGGGCACCGGUCACCCUGGACUUGAGGCCAAACCGUGUGCGCAUCUUUGUUGACACCGUUGCCGAAACACCCUUCACCGGCUAGGCAGCUUUGCUGGCAUGAAGGAAUGUAUGCCUGCACCAUGCAUGCUCAUGAAUACGUUUUUAUCAAUGGAUGAAUAAAUGCAGGCAUGUCAAGCAUUAACAUGGCAUGGCAUGGAUCUCUA
Triticum urartu is the source of this 683-nucleotide non-coding RNA. The record is from RefSeq and is a predicted model, not a curated record. Lineage: Eukaryota; Viridiplantae; Streptophyta; Magnoliopsida; Poales; Poaceae.